CCUACGGGAGGCAGCAGUAGGGAAUUUUCCGCAAUGGGCGAAAGCCUGACGGAGCAAUACCGCGUGAGGGAUGACGGCCUGUGGGUUGUAAACCUCUUUUCUCAAGGAAGAAGUUCUGACGGUACUUGAGGAAUAAGCAUCGGCUAACUCUGUGCCAGCAGCCGCGGUAAUACAGAGGAUGCAAGCGUUAUCCGGAAUCACUGGGCAUAAAGCGUCUGUAGGUUGUUUAGUAAGUCUGCUGUUAAAGACUGGGGCUUAACCCCAGAAAAGCAGUGGAAACUGCUAGACUCGAGUGUGGUAGAGGUAGAGGGAAUUCCUAGUGUAGCGGUGAAAUGCGUAGAUAUUAGGAAGAACACCAAUGGCGAAGGCACUCUACUGGGCCAUAACUGACACUCAGAGACGACAGCUAGGGGAGCAAACGGGAUUAGAUACCCCGGUAGUCCUAGCCGUAAACGAUGGAUACUAGAUGUUGCACGUAUUAACCCGUGCAGUAUCGUAGCUAAGGCGUUAAGUAUCCCGCCUGGGAAGUACGCUCGCAAGAGUGAAACUCAAAUGAAAUUGACGG
This 565-nucleotide ribosomal RNA is filed under the name uncultured bacterium. RNAcentral describes it as "bacterial SSU rRNA". It matches the Rfam family "Bacterial small subunit ribosomal RNA", at positions 338 to 916 of the family's 1533-position model. The record is from RNAcentral.